CUACGGGUGGCAGCAGUGGGGAAUAUUGCACAAUGGGCGCAAGCCUGAUGCAGCCAUGCCGCGUGUAUGAAGAAGGCCUUCGGGUUGUAAAGUACUUUCAGCGGGGAGGAAGGGAGUAAAGUUAAUACCUUUGCUCAUUGACGUUACCCGCAGAAGAAGCACCGGCUAACUCCGUGCCGGCAGCCGCGGUAAUACGGAGGGUGCAAGCGUUAAUCGGAAUUACUGGGCGUAAAGCGCACGCAGGCGGUUUGUUAAGUCAGAUGUGAAAUCCCCGGGCUCAACCUGGGAACUGCAUCUGAUACUGGCAAGCUUGAGUCUGGUAGAGGGGGGUAGAAUUCCAGGUGUAGCGGUGAAAUGCGUAGAGAUCUGGAGGAAUACCGGUGGCGAAGGCGGCCCCCUGGACGAAGACUGACGCUCAGGUGCGAAAGCGUGGGGAGCAAACAGGAUUAGAUACCCGGGUAGUC
This 464-nucleotide ribosomal RNA is filed under the name uncultured bacterium. RNAcentral's name for it is "partial 16S ribosomal RNA". It matches the Rfam family "Bacterial small subunit ribosomal RNA", at positions 339 to 795 of the family's 1533-position model. The record is from RNAcentral.